Molecule: long non-coding RNA, 433 nt
Filed under: Brassica rapa (field mustard)
Lineage: Eukaryota; Viridiplantae; Streptophyta; Magnoliopsida; Brassicales; Brassicaceae
Description: long non-coding RNA (BRAP_LNC002812)
Source: RNAcentral
GAGAAACGAAAGAAAUCCGUCAUUAAUCGAGAGAGAAAAGGGAGGUUUUGAUUUCGUUAGGGUUUUGCGUAUGAGAGGAGAAAGAGGCAGAUGCCGAGUUAAAUGAGGUUAACCCUCGAUAUGUCCGCAUCGAUCGAUGGCAGAACAGCUACAUCGAUCGAUAUUUCUCCAAAUGAACUACUCCUAAUUUCUAUUGCUCCUAAUAUUUUACUAAUAGCAAGAUAUAAAUAAAAUUACAAGAAAUUUUUUUUUUUUUGAAAGAAAAUGGGUUGCCUCCCAUUCAGCGCUUAAAUUUAAAGUCUUUAGCUCGACUUCCUGAAUAAACUAGUUAUCAGGGGUUCUUAGAAUAAUGGACAGAUUCGAUGGUGGUUUUGCCCAAUAAUGUUUCACUCGUUGGCCGUUCACUGUAAACUUGUCCCCUUUAUCGCUUUUU